RNAcentral lists this ribosomal RNA (460 nucleotides) under uncultured bacterium. RNAcentral describes it as "partial 16S ribosomal RNA". It matches the Rfam family "Bacterial small subunit ribosomal RNA", at positions 338 to 795 of the family's 1533-position model. The record is from RNAcentral.
CCUACGGGAGGCAGCAGUGAGGAAUAUUGGUCAAUGGACGAGAGUCUGAACCAGCCAAGUAGCGUGAAGGAUGACUGCCCUAUGGGUUGUAAACUUCUUUUAUAAGGGAAUAAAACGAGGUACGUGUGCCUUUUUGCACGUACUUUAUGAAUAAGGAUCGGCUAACUCCGUGCCAGCAGCCGCGGUAAUACGGAGGAUCCGAGCGUUAUCCGGAUUUAUUGGGUUUAAAGGGAGCGUAGAUGGGUUGUUAAGUCAGUUGUGAAAGUUUGCGGCUCAACCGUAAAAUUGCAAUUGAUACUGGCAGUCUUGAGUACAGUUGAGGUAGGCGGAAUUCGUGGUGUAGCGGUGAAAUGCUUAGAUAUCACGAAGAACCCCGAUUGCGAAGGCAGCUUACUAAACUGUGACUGACAUUGAUGCUCGAAAGUGUGGGGAUCAAACAGGAUUAGAUACCCCUGUAGUC